Molecule: ribosomal RNA, 253 nt
Filed under: uncultured bacterium
Lineage: Bacteria
Description: partial 16S ribosomal RNA
Rfam family: Bacterial small subunit ribosomal RNA
Source: RNAcentral
UACGGAGGGUGCGAGCGUUAUCCGGAAUCACUGGGUUUAAAGGGUACGUAGGCCGGCCCAUAAGUCAGGGGUGAAAGGCCGCGGCUCAACCGCGGGACUGCCCUUGAUACUGUGGGCCUUGAGUUCGGAUGAGGGCGGCGGAAUGGUACAUGUAGCGGUGAAAUGCUUAGAUAUGUACCGGAACACCGAUUGCGAAGGCAGCCGCCCGGGCCGUGACUGACGCUGAGGUACGAAAGCGUGGGUAGCGAACAGG